Molecule: ribosomal RNA, 298 nt
Filed under: Saccharomonospora sp. 42-190
Lineage: Bacteria; Bacillati; Actinomycetota; Actinomycetes; Pseudonocardiales; Pseudonocardiaceae
Also listed under: 1 other name
Description: partial 16S ribosomal RNA
Rfam family: Bacterial small subunit ribosomal RNA
Source: RNAcentral
AAAGAGCUCGUAGGCGGUGUGUCACGUCUGCCGUGAAAACCUGCGGCUUAACCGUGGGCGUGCGGUGGAUACGGGCAUCACUUGAGUUCGGUAGGGGAGACUGGAAUUCCUGGUGUAGCGGUGGAAUGCGCAGAUAUCAGGAGGAACACCGGUGGCGAAGGCGGGUCUCUGGGCCGAUACUGACGCUGAGGAGCGAAAGCGUGGGGAGCGAACAGGAUUAGAUACCCUGGUAGUCCACGCCGUAAACGUUGGGCGCUAGGUGUGGGGCGCUGUUCACGUGUCCCGUGCCGUAGCUAAC